This is a long non-coding RNA of Rhinopithecus roxellana (golden snub-nosed monkey), 1964 nucleotides long. RefSeq lists it as uncharacterized. The record is from RefSeq and is a predicted model, not a curated record. Lineage: Eukaryota; Metazoa; Chordata; Mammalia; Primates; Cercopithecidae. The transcript is spliced from 3 exons.
AUUCUGUCCUCCUCGUCCUGCGACUCCAGAGCGCCCAUCCACUCCUCAAAGAGGUCACUUGAAAGUAGCUUCCGGGGGAUACUUCUGAGGAAGUCCUGGGGGAUGAGAGCGGGCUAUUGGCCUAUUGACUUUUCAGAAGCUACAAAUCUUCAGCAUUCUUCACUCUGUGAAGUCAGAGAAAUGGAGGGACCAUAGCUCUGAGCUCAUUGGUAAAUACAACUAAUUUCAAUUUCUGGAAUGGAAGCAGUCAGAUAUUCUUCUAACUGCAUGCGUAUGUGGGAGUGCCAUGUCGAAGAGUGGAAAAUAUGGAAGAUCAGUCCCUACAAACUUCACAGGAGAAUGACAUUCAGAAUUCCCGAGUAUUUUGCAUGUCCAGCUGAAAACCGAAGUAGGUUUAUGAGAAAAUGCAUGCCUACCUGGAUGGGUCUGGGGAGUGUGUCGCUGCCACCACAGAUAAUUGACAAGGGCUGAUCAAAUAGUGAUGCUUUCAAGUCUGUCUCCAAAGCCCCAGAAAAAUCUGAUGCAGGGGAGAGCCUUCUCAUGAGAAAGGGCCAGGACAGCACCUUCUUUCUCUUCUUAACUUCUACAGCCAAGAAAACAAGGCAACGAGAAAAAUUAGACUGCAGUGUUAAUAAGCAAAGAUCCAGGUAAGAAAAUGGGUAUUGUUGGCCACAUAAUGUGGUCGAUAGUAUAUGCCAUGUGAGAAAAAUAAUUUUGAAAACUUAAGAAAGCAAAGGGCGUGAAUCUUAAUCUAGAAAAACCAACCGAUAAACAACCACACUGUUACCAGGGCAACCAGUUCCCUAAACAGCAACACCAGGGUUCCUCUAAGCCUCCACCUUUCCUGUUUUCACUCUUUCCAGCUGUUUGCUACAGAAAAUUAGCAAAACCUAACUGUGUAGAUCAUAAACAACCAUCUUAACUUACUGGCCUGAAUAACUAUAGAGGAAAUUUCUGAUAUGAAACAGAUUAUUUUGAUUUCCUCCUUUAAUUGGCGAAGAAAACGAAACUUAAAAGGUGACUGGUCACCUGGGUUUUCCAGGUCGCUGCUUUAGGACAGAGGCAAAUACGAAUUGCUGCAGGAAGGCUUGAACCUACAUCUGGCAACUGGAAAUUAUCAGCAAAACAUUAUCAAGAUAUUCUGUCCUUCCGAAAUCCACAAGAUGUGUGUGCAAUGGAUAUUGCAAUCUCAAGUUUCCUUAUUUCUUUUCUUUUCCUUCCUUCCUUCUCCUUUUUUUUUUAACUAAUUAUAAAGGCUAUAUUUUCUAAAUGUAUUGGCAUAUGUUUCUGUACAUUUUAGAUUGGCAAGUGGAAGCGUGAUGAGAAAGAAGUGGCCUGUCUUUAUGGUUCAGGAGAACUGGGUCAGGGUUACGCUGUAAUGAAAUGCAUUAUGAAAAAUAAUUGAGAGCGAAUGGUGGAUCCUUUGGGAUUUGAGAUCAGCAACAGUUGCUUCAUAGGCUCUUGGAUGCAUUCUCCAUAACAGAAGGAAGAAAAUGGAAAAGACACUGUAUGUUUUCAAAUGUGUGCAUGCUAAUUGUCGAAACAUACAUGGCCAGGAGAUGGAACCGCAUUAAAAACCCUUGGCAGAACUGGGGGAUUCUGUAUGGAGAGGCUCUUUCCGCUCCCAGCACUCCCGGCUCUAGUGAGUUGGAGCAUACCUGCCGUUUAAGGGUUAAUGUUCUGCGGUCUUUAAGAGAACACUUAUACAAAAAAAUUCCUAGUAGAGUAAAAUCGCUGUGGUUUUGCAAACCAAGAACACUGGUUGUUAGCACUUACAUAAAAGAUCAGUAUGUUUUCAAAACUCACCAAUGAGCUGGCAAAUACUGUCUUCACUCUCACAUGAUGCCAACAGGGGAUGCUCCUUGAUAUCACCCUAAAAACAUUUUUAUUUCAGUUAAAUAUAGUGACUGAAGAAACCUAUCGAGUCUUUCCCCACAAAACACACAUACAACAUUUUAUUCAUA